GCAUUGGUGGUUCAGUGGUAGAAUUUCGCCACGCCAUGCCGGAGCCCGGGUCCGAUUCCCGGCCAAUGCA
RNAcentral lists this transfer RNA (70 nucleotides) under Perca fluviatilis (European perch). RNAcentral describes it as "tRNA-Gly". It matches the Rfam family "tRNA". Rfam says of the family: Transfer RNA (tRNA) molecules are approximately 80 nucleotides in length. Their secondary structure includes four short double-helical elements and three loops (D, anti-codon, and T loops). Lineage: Eukaryota; Metazoa; Chordata; Actinopteri; Perciformes; Percidae. The record is from RNAcentral.